Molecule: microRNA precursor, 105 nt
Filed under: Marmota monax (woodchuck)
Lineage: Eukaryota; Metazoa; Chordata; Mammalia; Rodentia; Sciuridae
Source: RNAcentral
AGUGGGAUAGCUGGGUCAAAUGGAAGUUGGAUUCAAAGUUUUCUGAGGAAUCUCCCCACACUGCUUUCUGAAGUGGUUGCACCAUUUUGCAGUCCCACCAGCAAU